RNAcentral lists this microRNA (22 nucleotides) under Cordylochernes scorpioides. Lineage: Eukaryota; Metazoa; Arthropoda; Arachnida; Pseudoscorpiones; Chernetidae. The record is from RNAcentral.
GGUCUUGAGUAGGGCGAGAGUG